CUUGCUUCAUGAUUCAGACCUUGGUGAGUGGCGGACGGGUGAGUAACACGUGGGUAACCUGCCCAGAAGUGGGGGAUAACAUUUGGAAACAAGUGCUAAUACCGCAUAACAACAUUUAUCUCAUGAUUUAUGUUUAAAAGAUGGUUCUGCUAUCUCUUCUGGAUGGACCCGCGGCGUAUUAGCUAGUUGGUGAGGUAAUAGCUCACCAAGGCGAUGAUACGUAGCCGACCUGAGAGGGUAAUCGGCCACAUUGGGACUGAGACACGGCCCAAACUCCUACGGGAGGCAGCAGUAGGGAAUCUUCCACAAUGGACGAAAGUCUGAUGGAGCAACGCCGCGUGAGUGAAGAAGGUUUUCGGAUCGUAAAACUCUGUUGUUGAAGAAGAACAUAUGUGAGAGUAACUGUUCACGUACUGACGGUAUUCAACCAGAAAGCCACGGCUAACUACGUGCCAGCAGCCGCGGUAAUACGUAGGUGGCAAGCGUUGUCCGGAUUUAUUGGGCGUAAAGAGAAUGUAGGCGGUUCAUUAAGUUUGAAGUGAAAGC
RNAcentral lists this ribosomal RNA (546 nucleotides) under Companilactobacillus paralimentarius. RNAcentral describes it as "bacterial SSU rRNA". It matches the Rfam family "Bacterial small subunit ribosomal RNA", at positions 63 to 601 of the family's 1533-position model. The record is from RNAcentral. Lineage: Bacteria; Bacillati; Bacillota; Bacilli; Lactobacillales; Lactobacillaceae.